This 305-nucleotide ribosomal RNA is filed under the name uncultured bacterium. RNAcentral's name for it is "bacterial SSU rRNA". It matches the Rfam family "Bacterial small subunit ribosomal RNA", at positions 346 to 649 of the family's 1533-position model. The record is from RNAcentral.
CGGCAGCAGUGAGGAAUAUUGGUCAAUGGUCGGGAGACUGAACCAGCCAAGCCGCGUGAGGGAUGAAGGUACAGAGUAUCGUAAACCUCUUUUGUCAGGGAACAAAGGCGGGGACGCGUCCCCGGAUGAGUGUACCUGAAGAAAAAGCAUCGGCUAACUCCGUGCCAGCAGCCGCGGUAAUACGGAGGAUGCGAGCGUUAUCCGGAUUUAUUGGGUUUAAAGGGUGCGCAGGCGGUCUGUUAAGUCAGCGGUCAAAGCCCGGGGCUCAAACCCGGCCCGCCGGUGAAACUGGCAGGCUCGAGUUG